RNAcentral lists this long non-coding RNA (1593 nucleotides) under Anas platyrhynchos platyrhynchos (common mallard). RNAcentral's name for it is "lncRNA (ENSAPLG00000024571.1)". Lineage: Eukaryota; Metazoa; Chordata; Aves; Anseriformes; Anatidae. The record is from RNAcentral.
CCCCCCUCCCCUCCUCGAUCAGUGAACCCGGGAUCCGACAGACAUCGCGGAAACGAGAGAGGGAGGGAAGCGAAGAGAAAAAAAAAAAAAAAAACACACACACACACACACCAAGAAAGAAAGAGGAACGUGAACGCUCCGCAGCCCUCGCCCCCGGACUCGCUCCGCGAACAUCAAAUGCGUGCCUCAUAUGCUGCGCAGAGCCGCCCCGCUUGGCCCCGGCUUCACAAAGCAGCCUCCGCUGCUGCCUCCCCGCCCGGCCGGCCCCCUCCGACCGGCCCUUUGAUGGCGAGCCCCGAGCCUCCCUCGGGCUCGCUCCCCGAGUCCCAGCUCCGUUUUUAAGGCGCCCGAAACUUCCGUGUCACGCCGGACCUCACGCCAGGACGGCUCCGCGCACGGGAAAGCCCCGGGCCGCCCUGCCCCACGUGCGCCUCGCCGCCCGCCCCGCCGGGAGGAGGAGGAGGAGGAGGAGGAGGAAGGGGGCAGCGGAGCCCCGGGCUCCCCCGGCGCGGGCACGGAACCGCUGCGGGCUCCCCGUGCCCUCACCUGGCCGCCCCGGGGCGCGCAGCCUCCCGGUGCCGAGCGGGGACCCCCCUUCUCCCGUCCCGGCGCCCCGCUCCUCUCCUCGGCCGCUGCCUCAGCGCCUUCCCCAGCACCGUGCCCCCCCUCCUCGCACCCCCCCGCGGGUUCUCCGGAGCGGACACCGCCACCCGCGGCUCCCCGAGCAGGCAUCUCCGCCAGCAACUGCCUCCAAACUUCCCCUCCGCCACCGCAGCCCCGGAGGCGCACCGGGAGAGGCGGCGUGUGCCCGCGGCCCCCCAGCCCGUCCCCCCGCCCCGAGCCGCAACUUUGGACCGCGUCCCCGUCGAAAGGGAAGGGGGGACACCGAGGGGAGCCCCGUCGAGCCCCCUAACCCCCCCCUCCGAGGGCUGCGGGGCGCGGAGCGCAGCACUGACCUUCCUGCCGCGCCGUGGGUCCCGCCGUCGCCUCGCCUCGCCUCGCCCCGCUGCUCUCCCCGGAAGGGCAGCCCCGUCGGGGGGCGGGCGUGGGGGUGCGAGGGGGAGGCUGGAGAAAAGUUUCCUGACCCCCCCCUCCCCCUUCUCCGGGGGGGGCGUGCGCCGCGGCUUGCCCCGCUGCGGGCGGGCGGGGAGCUGCAGGGCGCGGGGGGCAGGAGCGCGGCCGCCGCCUGCGCCGACGGGGCAGGUGCCCGCGGGGAGGGCUUCGCUUCUCGGCUCCGCUCGGCUCGGCUCAGCGGCGGCAGCGGGAGCAGCAGCAGCCCGCGAUGCUCAUUCCGGCUGCCGGCUCUGGUUUGGCAGCGCCAUGUUGCUGGCUUGCUCCGGGCGAAGUUCCUGCGCUGGCGAGCGCGGCGCUCCCCACAUCUCGCCCGCGCCGCCGUCUCCCGUGCCCUGGCCGCCGCGGCUUUGUGUGUGUGUGUGGCUGGGGAUUUAAUUCUCCUCCUCCUCUUCUCCUCCUCUCUCUCUCUCUCUCUUUUUUUUUUUUUUUUUUUCUUCCUCUCCCCCCCCUCCCCUCUUUAGUCCGCCGGGAAAGCCGCUCUUCCUCACCUUGCCGCUGGGAGACCGGGCUCCGUCUGCU